This is a non-coding RNA of Gossypium raimondii (Peruvian cotton), 307 nucleotides long. It matches the Rfam family "Plant signal recognition particle RNA". NCBI's taxonomy places the organism in Eukaryota, Viridiplantae, Streptophyta, Magnoliopsida, Malvales, Malvaceae. The record is from Rfam.
GCCGAGCUUGGUAACGCUUGCUUGUGACCUGUGUGGGGGCUUGAAGGUGAUGGAACAUGGGGCUGGCUUGCAGAGUCGGAUCUGGAGUUGGUCCAAAUCUGGCUUGCCCGUUCCAAGCUAAGAGCUGAACCGAGGGGCUUGAGUGAAAACUUUGAGUCUCGUGGUUCCUAAAGUGGAGGGUAUUGCGUGAGGCUGGUUUCACAGAGCAGCGAAGACCUCCCUCUCUUAGCAGUGGAAGGAUAACAGGCUUGAUCCUCUCUAAUCCAACAUGGCUCAGUGAGCUGAUCCUAACUGGACCAUCAUCUUU